GCACCCGUAGCUCAGUUGGAUAGAGUGUCAGCCUCCGAAGCUGAAGGUCGUUGGUUCGAUUCCAAUCGGGUGCACCA
RNAcentral lists this transfer RNA (77 nucleotides) under Chromobacteriaceae bacterium. RNAcentral describes it as "tRNA-Arg". It matches the Rfam family "tRNA". Rfam says of the family: Transfer RNA (tRNA) molecules are approximately 80 nucleotides in length. Their secondary structure includes four short double-helical elements and three loops (D, anti-codon, and T loops). The record is from RNAcentral. Lineage: Bacteria; Pseudomonadati; Pseudomonadota; Betaproteobacteria; Neisseriales; Chromobacteriaceae. RNAcentral also lists the same sequence under 1 other name.